RNAcentral lists this ribosomal RNA (492 nucleotides) under uncultured bacterium. Its description in RNAcentral is "partial 16S ribosomal RNA". It matches the Rfam family "Bacterial small subunit ribosomal RNA", at positions 30 to 507 of the family's 1533-position model. The record is from RNAcentral.
AUUGAACGCUGGCGGCAUGCUUUACACAUGCAAGUCGAACGGUAACAGGCCUUCGGGUGCUGACGAGUGGCGAACGGGUGAGUAAUGCAUCGGAACGUACCCAGAGGUGGGGGAUAACGCAGCGAAAGCUGUGCUAAUACCGCAUGUGAUCUGAGGAUGAAAGCGGGGGACCGAGCAGCAAUGUUUGGCCUCGCGCCUUUGGAGCGGCCGAUGUCGGAUUAGCUAGUUGGUGGGGUAAAGGCCUACCAAGGCGACGAUCCGUAGCUGGUCUGAGAGGACGACCAGCCACACUGGGACUGAGACACGGCCCAGACUCCUACGGGAGGCAGCAGUGGGGAAUUUUGGCCAAUGGGCGCAAGCCUGAUCCAGCAAUGCCGCGUGCGGGAAGAAGGCCUUCGGGUUGUAAACCGCUUUUGGCAGGAACGAAACGGUGUCCGCUAAUACCGGGCGCUAAUGACGGUACCUUCAGAAUAAGCACCGGCUAACUACGUG